Unclassified non-coding RNA from Otolemur garnettii (small-eared galago), 107 nucleotides. It matches the Rfam family "Y RNA". From Rfam's summary of the family: Y RNAs are components of the Ro ribonucleoprotein particle (Ro RNP), in association with Ro60 and La proteins. The Y RNAs and Ro60 and La proteins are well conserved, but the function of the Ro RNP is not known. The record is from Ensembl. NCBI's taxonomy places the organism in Eukaryota, Metazoa, Chordata, Mammalia, Primates, Galagidae.
GGCUGGUCCAGAGGUAGUGAGUUACCUCAACUGGUUGUUCAGUCAAUUUACAGAUCAAACUCCUUGUUCUACUCUCCCUCCUCCUCACUACUGCACUUUAGUUUUUG